RNAcentral lists this transfer RNA (71 nucleotides) under Candidatus Ancillula kalotermitis. RNAcentral describes it as "tRNA-Trp". It matches the Rfam family "tRNA". Rfam says of the family: Transfer RNA (tRNA) molecules are approximately 80 nucleotides in length. Their secondary structure includes four short double-helical elements and three loops (D, anti-codon, and T loops). Lineage: Bacteria; Bacillati; Actinomycetota; Actinomycetes; Bifidobacteriales; Bifidobacteriaceae. The record is from RNAcentral.
AGGGGUAUAGUGAAAUGGUAUCACGAAGGUCUCCAAAACCUUCAGCCUGGGUUCGAUUCCCAGUACCCCUG